This 909-nucleotide ribosomal RNA is filed under the name Russula subnigricans. RNAcentral describes it as "eukaryotic LSU rRNA". It matches the Rfam family "Eukaryotic large subunit ribosomal RNA", at positions 62 to 947 of the family's 3401-position model. Lineage: Eukaryota; Fungi; Basidiomycota; Agaricomycetes; Russulales; Russulaceae. The record is from RNAcentral.
AAACUAACAAGGAUUCCCCUAGUAACUGCGAGUGAAGCGGGAAAAGCUCAAAUUUAAAAUCUGGUGGCCUCUGGUCGCUCGAGUUGUAAUUUAGAGAAGCGUCUUCCGCGCUGGACCGUGCACAAGUCUCCUGGAAUGGAGCCUCAUAGAGGGUGAGAAUCCCGUCUUUGGCACGGAUGCACCAGGGCUUUCGUGAUGCGCUCUCAAAGAGUCGAGUUGUUUGGGAAUGCAGCUCAAAAUGGGUGGUGAACUCCAUCUAAAGCUAAAUAUUGGCGAGAGACCGAUAGCGAACAAGUACCGUGAGGGAAAGAUGAAAAGCACUUUGGAAAGAGAGUGAAACAGUACGUGAAAUUGUUGAAAGGGAAACGCUUGAAGUCAGUCGCGUCGACCGAGACUCAGCCUCGCCUCGGCUUGGUGUACUUCUCGGCCGACGGGUCAGCAUCAAUUUUGCCCCUCGGAUAAUGGCAAGGGAAAGGUAGCACCUUUACAGGUGUGUUAUAGUCUCCUGUCGCAUGCGAGGGUUAGGAUUGAGGAACUCAGCAUGUGCCUUUUGGUGUCGGGGCCUCGGCCCACGCUACGUGCUUAGGAUGCUGGCAUAAUGGCUUUAAACGACCCGUCUUGAAACACGGACCAAGGAGUCCAACAUGCCCGCGAGUGUUCGGGUGGAAAACCCGUGCGCGUAAUGAAAGUAAAAGUUGGGACCCCUGUCGUGGGGGGCACCGACGCCCGGACCAGACCUUCUGUGACGGAUCUGCGGUAGAGCGUGCAUGUUGGGACCCGAAAGAUGGUGAACUAUGCCUGAAUAGGGUGAAGCCAGAGGAAACUCUGGUGGAGGCUCGUAGCGAUUCUGACGUGCAAAUCGAUCGUCAAAUUUGGGUAUAGGGGCGAAAGACUAAUCGAACCAUCUAG